UCAUAGCUUAGUGGUAGAGCAGCUGCCCUGUGUGCAGAAGGUCACAGGUUCUAUCCCUGACCUGGAGAG
Podarcis lilfordi (Lilford's wall lizard) is the source of this 69-nucleotide non-coding RNA. The record is from the annotation of a GenBank genome assembly. Lineage: Eukaryota; Metazoa; Chordata; Lepidosauria; Squamata; Lacertidae.